GAGGGCAUAGCUCAGUGUUAGAGUGCAUGCCUAGCAUGCAUGAGGUCCUGGGUUCAAUCCCCAGUAGCUCCA
Molecule: transfer RNA, 72 nt
Filed under: Camelus bactrianus (Bactrian camel)
Lineage: Eukaryota; Metazoa; Chordata; Mammalia; Artiodactyla; Camelidae
Also listed under: 3 other names
Rfam family: tRNA
About the family: Transfer RNA (tRNA) molecules are approximately 80 nucleotides in length. Their secondary structure includes four short double-helical elements and three loops (D, anti-codon, and T loops).
Source: Rfam by way of RNAcentral